GGGUUGUGAGGUUAAGCGAACAAGCGUACACGGUGGAUGCCCUGGCAGUCAGAGGCGAUGAAGGACGUGCUAAUCUGCGAAAAGCGCCGGUAAGGUGAUAUGAACCGUUAUAACCGGCGAUGUCCGAAUGGGGAAACCCGGUGCACUUCGGUGCAUCAUCGUUAGCUGAAUACAUAGGCUAACGAGGCGAACCGGGGGAACUGAAACAUCUAAGUACCCCGAGGAAAAGAAAUCAACCGAGAUUCCCCCAGUAGCGGCGAGCGAACGGGGAACAGCCCAGAGCCUGAAUCAGCUUGUGUGUCAGUGGAACGGUCUGGAAAGGCCGGCGAUACAGGGUGACAGCCCCGUACACGAAGGCACACAGGCUGUGAGCUCGAUGAGUAGGGCGGGACACGUGAUAUCCUGUCUGAAGAUGGGGGGACCAUCCUCCAAGGCUAAAUACUCCUGACUGACCGAUAGUGAACCAGUACCGUGAGGGAAAGGCGAAAAGAACCCCGGCGAGGGGAGUGAAACAGAACCUGAAACCGUGUACGUACAAGCAGUGGGAGCCUUCGUAAGAGGGUGACUGCGUACCUUUUGUAUAAUGGGUCAGCGACUUAUAUUCUGUAGCAAGGUUAACCGUAUAGGGGAGCCGAAGGGAAACCGAGUCUUAAUUGGGCGUUAAGUUGCAGGGUAUAGACCCGAAACCCGGUGAUCUAGCCAUGGGCAGGUUGAAGGUUGGGUAACACUAACUGGAGGACCGAACCGACUAAUGUUGAAAAAUUAGCGGAUGACCUGUGGCUGGGGGUGAAAGGCCAAUCAAACCGGGAGAUAGCUGGUUCUCCCCGAAAGCUAUUUAGGUAGCGCCUCGUGAACUCAUCUCCGGGGGUAGAGCACUGUUUCGGCUAGGGGGCCAUCCCGGCUUACCAACCCGAUGCAAACUGCGAAUACCGGAGAAUGUUAUCACGGGAGACACACGGCGGGUGCUAACGUCCGUCGUGAAGAGGGAAACAACCCAGACCGCCAGCUAAGGUCCCAAAGUCAUGGUUAAGUGGGAAACGAUGUGGGAAGGCCCAGACAGCCAGGAUGUUGGCUUAGAAGCAGCCAUCAUUUAAAGAAAGCGUAAUAGCUCACUGGUCGAGUCGGCCUGCGCGGAAGAUGUAACGGGGCUAAACCAUGCACCGAAGCUGCGGCAGCGACACUGUGUGUUGUUGGGUAGGGGAGCGUUCUGUAAGCCUGCGAAGGUGUGCUGUGAGGCAUGCUGGAGGUAUCAGAAGUGCGAAUGCUGACAUAAGUAACGAUAAAGCGGGUGAAAAGCCCGCUCGCCGGAAGACCAAGGGUUCCUGUCCAACGUUAAUCGGGGCAGGGUGAGUCGACCCCUAAGGCGAGGCCGAAAGGCGUAGUCGAUGGGAAACAGGUUAAUAUUCCUGUACUUGGUGUUACUGCGAAGGGGGGACGGAGAAGGCUAUGUCGGCCGGGCGACGGUUGUCCCGGUUUAAGCGUGUAGGCUGACUUUCCAGGCAAAUCCGGAAAGUUAAGGCUGAGGCGUGAUGACGAGGCACCACGGUGCUGAAGUGACAAAUGCCCUGCUUCCAGGAAAAGCCUCUAAGCAUCAGGUAACAUCAAAUCGUACCCCAAACCGACACAGGUGGUCAGGUAGAGAAUACCAAGGCGCUUGAGAGAACUCGGGUGAAGGAACUAGGCAAAAUGGUGCCGUAACUUCGGGAGAAGGCACGCUGACAUGUAGGUGAAGCCCCUGCGGGUGGAGCUGAAGUCAGUCGAAGAUACCAGCUGGCUGCAACUGUUUAUUAAAAACACAGCACUGUGCAAACACGAAAGUGGACGUAUACGGUGUGACGCCUGCCCGGUGCCGGAAGGUUAAUUGAUGGGGUUAUCGCAAGAGAAGCUCCUGAUCGAAGCCCCGGUAAACGGCGGCCGUAACUAUAACGGUCCUAAGGUAGCGAAAUUCCUUGUCGGGUAAGUUCCGACCUGCACGAAUGGCGUAAUGAUGGCCAGGCUGUCUCCACCCGAGACUCAGUGAAAUUGAACUCGCUGUGAAGAUGCAGUGUACCCGCGGCAAGACGGAAAGACCCCGUGAACCUUUACUACAGCUUGACACUGAACAUUGAGCCUUGAUGUGUAGGAUAGGUGGGAGGCUUUGAAGCGUGGACGCCAGUCUGCGUGGAGCCGACCUUGAAAUACCACCCUUUAAUGUUUGAUGUUCUAACCUGGCGCCGUGAUCCGGCGUGGGGACAGUGUCUGGUGGGUAGUUUGACUGGGGCGGUCUCCUCCCAAAGUGUAACGGAGGAGCACGAAGGUCAGCUAAUCCUGGUCGGACAUCAGGAGGUUAGUGCAAUGGCAUAAGCUGGCUUGACUGCGAGAGUGACGGCUCGAGCAGGUGCGAAAGCAGGUCAUAGUGAUCCGGUGGUUCUGUAUGGAAGGGCCAUCGCUCAACGGAUAAAAGGUACUCCGGGGAUAACAGGCUGAUACCGCCCAAGAGUUCAUAUCGACGGCGGUGUUUGGCACCUCGAUGUCGGCUCAUCACAUCCUGGGGCUGAAGUAGGUCCCAAGGGUAUGGCUGUUCGCCAUUUAAAGUGGUACGCGAGCUGGGUUUAGAACGUCGUGAGACAGUUCGGUCCCUAUCUGCCGUGGGCGCUGGAGAAUUGAGGGGGGCUGCUCCCAGUACGAGAGGACCGGAGUGGACGCAUCACUGGUGUUCGGGUUGUCAUGCCAAUGGCACUGCCCGGUAGCUAAAUGCGGAAGAGAUAAGUGCUGAAAGCAUCUAAGCACGAAACUUGCCCCGAGAUGAGUUCUCCCUGAGACUGUAAGUCUCCUGAAGGAACGUUGAAGACGACGACGUUGAUAGGCCGGGUGUGUAAGCGCAGCGAUGCGUUGAGCUAACCGGUACUAAUGAACCGUGAGGCUUAACCUUACAACGCCAAAGAAGU
RNAcentral lists this ribosomal RNA (2927 nucleotides) under Cronobacter sakazakii. Its description in RNAcentral is "23S ribosomal RNA". It matches the Rfam family "Bacterial large subunit ribosomal RNA". The record is from RNAcentral. Lineage: Bacteria; Pseudomonadati; Pseudomonadota; Gammaproteobacteria; Enterobacterales; Enterobacteriaceae.